AUGAGCGGAGGACGCGUCCUUCACCGGAGGUCUCCUGCCCCUCUCGUUCUGGCCUUGGCAUGGGCCAUGCUCUUCGUCGCAUUGUCUGACGCGCAGCUGGAGGUCGGGUUCUACGACUACACCUGCCCGAGAGCGGAGCAGCUCGUCCGCACCGUCGUCCACGCCGCCAUCCGCCGUGACCCCGGCAUCGGCGCCGGGCUAGUGCGCCUCUUCUUCCACGACUGCUUCGUCAGGGGGUGUGAUGCAUCCGUGCUCCUGGACGCGGUCCCGGGCAGCGACGACGCCGUGGAGAAGGCGUCGCAGGCGAACAGCCCUAGCCUCAGGGGCUACGGCGUCAUCGAGCGCGCCAAGCGCGUGGUCGAGCGGCGGUGCCGGCGCCGACAUCGUGGCCUUCGCCGCGCGCGACGCCAGCGGCCUCCUGGGGGGCAUCGAGUACGAGGUGCCGGCGGGGCGGCGCGACGGCCGCGUCUCCAACGCGUCGGAGGUGCUCAACAGCCUGCCCCCGCCCUUCUCCAACGCCUCGCGGUUCGUCGACAGCUUCGCCGCCAAGGGCCUCAAUGCCGACGACAUGGUCACGCUCUCGGGCGCGCACUCCUUCGGCCGCACCCACUGCUCAGCCAUCGCCUUCCGGCUCUACCCGCGGGUCGCAGCAGACAUGAACGCCACCUACGGCAGGUCCCUCCGGGCGCGGUGCCCGGCCGCGACGGGGCGCCGGGACCGGGUGGUGCACCUGGACCCGGUCACGGGGCUCCGGCUCGACAACCAGUACUACAGGAACGUGCAGACGCGCGAGGUGCCGUUCACGUCGGACGCGACGCUCCUGACGCGGGACGACACGGCGGCGCUCGUCGACCUCUACGCGCGCAACAGGACUGCGUGGAUGUCGCGGUUCGCGGCCGCGAUGGUGAAGAUGGGCGACCUCGACGUGCUCACCGGCACCCAAGGAGAGAUCAGGAGCCUUUGCAACAGAGUUAA
Molecule: ribosomal RNA, 975 nt
Filed under: Triticum aestivum (bread wheat)
Lineage: Eukaryota; Viridiplantae; Streptophyta; Magnoliopsida; Poales; Poaceae
Description: partial small subunit ribosomal RNA
Source: RNAcentral